This 28-nucleotide small RNA is filed under the name Bombyx mori (domestic silkworm). Its description in RNAcentral is "piRNA piR-bmo-1515715". The record is from RNAcentral. Lineage: Eukaryota; Metazoa; Arthropoda; Insecta; Lepidoptera; Bombycidae.
UCCUGGAGCGCAUAAGUGUGGAAGCUUA